CUGACAUCCUAAUUUCAAAAGAUUUACUUCGAUGAGCAACUGAAUUUUCGGAUAAGUAGUUUAAAUUGAUGUAAUCCUCCAACCAACUCCCACUAUUAUUUUGACCGCAUCUGUUUGGGCAGCCCGUAACUAACACUCCAAGGUUGCAGGUUGCAUGGCCAAGUGGACAAACGGUGGCCAGUGGUUGGUGGCUAGUAGCUAGUAGCUGCUUGCUGGUGGCCAGUGGGCAGUGGGCAAUGGGCAAUGGCAAAUGGGAAAAGUGGCAAGUGGCAAGUGGCAAGUGGAUGGCCAGGCCAGGCCAGGCUAACCAGCUAACCAGCCAAGCGGCCAGCCCAAGCACUUUGCUUAUUAAAGUACAACAGCCGUCGUACAUCAGGCGAAAUUUAUUAUGAUGAUGUUGUGUGCAUAAGGCCAGUUUUUUGUAUUUCCUAGCAAUUUUUCCACCGAAAGGGCCAGCUCUGCGUUGGUGUUUGCCUUUAACCACAAGACUUUCCUUCGGAAUGGGCAACGUGUCGCAUAACCACCAGAGGAACGGGAAGAGCCCGAGGGCUUCGGAUGGCAGGAGAGAUGGAGGUGGGACUCCUGACCACAACAAAGCUGUCCAGCGGCCACGGGAGAUAGUCAGCAGGAAUGGCCGAGGGCGAUUGUGGUCAAGACACCUGGAACUUUUACAAGUAUCCGCCUUAAGAUGGUUGAAUUUGAAAAUGCCAUAAAAUGCAUAGUUAUUUGCUUUUUUCAUAAUUGAAAAAUAUUUAUGAAGUGAAAAUUGCCAUUUAUAAGUAAACAUAACAUUUUUCGUUUCCUAUCUUUUACUAUUGCUAUAUGGGCUUACGUCAAUUUUAUGUUGUUUUAACAGCCCAUGUUCAAUAAAAAUUCAAACCCA
This is a long non-coding RNA of Drosophila santomea, 883 nucleotides long. RefSeq lists it as uncharacterized. Lineage: Eukaryota; Metazoa; Arthropoda; Insecta; Diptera; Drosophilidae. The record is from RefSeq and is a predicted model, not a curated record. The transcript has 3 exons.